Molecule: long non-coding RNA, 1244 nt
Organism: Oncorhynchus tshawytscha (Chinook salmon)
Lineage: Eukaryota; Metazoa; Chordata; Actinopteri; Salmoniformes; Salmonidae
Source: Ensembl
AUAAGGCUGUAAGGUAACAAAAUGUGGAGAAAAAAAAACAGGGUUCGACUACUUUCCAAAUGCACAAUACAUGCAAACAUGUAAAUGGUGUGUCGACAAAAUUAAAUAUUACUGUAUGCAUGUGAAAAACAACUGCAAAAGUGAACAUGAAUGUAGGCCUAGGAGUCUAGCCUAGUGUAUACAGCUUGAUGUGGUGUUGUGUCUGCACCCGCCAGGACAUGUGACAGGAACAGGAUGGAGAGAGGUAGGGGGUGGGGAUGAGAGAGGCAGGGGAGGAGAGGGGCAUGGGGUGGGAAAGAGAGCGACAGAGCGAGAGCGCGACCGAAAGAGCGAGAAAGAGCGACAGAGCGAGAGCGCGCUAGAGAGCACAAACAGAGAGAGAGAGACAUAUGGAACAAACAGAGAGAGAGGGGGGAUGGUUUCUUCCUCUCCUGUUCUACUCUGCAGCCUGUUUUGGCCCGGGCCCAGAAUUCUGCUGCUUCUGGUAACCUGGUUCCAUAAAGGAAAGGCCCAUGGCUACAGUGAGUAACAAACACAUCCUAUCCCAUCAUCACUCAACUUGUCCCAAGCAUAUAUGCGAGCGCACACACAGUGACGCGCUUGAAUAUAUGCAUGCACAUCCCAGUUGUACACACUAACACACACACAAACACACACAGGCAGGCACGCACAGGCAGACAGGCAGAGACAGGCACGCACAGACAGACAGGCACACACAGAGACAGACAGACAGACAGGCGCUCACAGACAAAGACAGACAGAGAGAGACACGCCCGCACAGACAGAAAGGCAGACAGAACAGCUUGCCCGUCCGACAGGCAGACCCGCCGACACACACACCCGCCGACACACACACCCGCCGACACACACACACACCCGCCGACACACACACACACCUGCCGACACACACACACACCUGCCGACACACACACCCGUCGAGACACACACAAGAGUAUGUAGAGAGGUGAUGGGGUGGCUAGAAGACAGUGUAGAGAGGUGAUGGGGUGGAUAGAAGACAGUGUAGAGAGGUGAUGGGGUGGAUAGAAGACAGUGUAGAGAGGUGAUGGGGUGGAUAGAAGACAGUGUAGAGAGGUGAUGGGGUGGAUAGAAGACAGUGAAGAGGUGAUGGGGUGGAUAGAAGACAGUGAAGAGGUGAUGGGGUGGAUAGAAGACAGUGAAGAGGUGAUGGGGUGGAUAGAAGACAGUGAAAAGAGGUGAUGGGGUGGAUAGAAGACUGUAGAGAG